AACGAACGCUGGCGGCAGGCUUAACACAUGCAAGUCGAACGGGUGCAGCAAUGCAUCAGUGGCAGACGGGUGAGUAACACGUGGGAACCUUCCUCGGGGUACGGAACAACUCAGGGAAACUUGAGCUAAUACCGUAUACGUCCGUGAGGAGAAAGAUUUAUCGCCCUGAGACGGGCCCGCGUCGGAUUAGCUAGUUGGUGGGGUAACGGCCUACCAAGGCGACGAUCCGUAGCUGAUCUUAGAGGAUGAUCAGCCACACUGGGACUGAGACACGGCCCAGACUCCUACGGGAGGCAGCAGUGGGGAAUCUUGGACAAUGGGCGCAAGCCUGAUCCAGCCAUGCCGCAUGAGUGAAGAAGGUCUUCGGAUUGUAAAGCUCUUUUGCCAGGGACGAUAAUGACGGUACCUGGAGAAUAAGCCCCGGCAAACUUCGUGCCAGCCGCCGCGGUAA
Molecule: ribosomal RNA, 451 nt
Filed under: uncultured bacterium
Lineage: Bacteria
Description: partial 16S ribosomal RNA
Rfam family: Bacterial small subunit ribosomal RNA
Source: RNAcentral